This is a long non-coding RNA of Esox lucius (northern pike), 1864 nucleotides long. Lineage: Eukaryota; Metazoa; Chordata; Actinopteri; Esociformes; Esocidae. The record is from Ensembl.
GCCGCGUCUUGAUUAUUGGUUAUUUUCUUCUAAAUUUGUAAGCAGGAAUACAACUGUAUUAUUCAACUGUAUUGCUAAGCAACCAAGCUUGAGGAUAUUUAUUGUGUCUAAGAUUGACAAUGCCCUGACACAAGACAAACUGGAUAUCGUGUUGAAGACUCCCAAUGGCUGCAGUAAUUAACACACAAAGGGAGUGGAUGCUUUAUUAGUUGUAGAAUUUUACAACAUACCUGUAGUAUCUCUACAACAGCAUUAGAUUGCUGCUGAGUAAGAACAGUUAUAUUGGUUGGUCAGUCAGCUAACUGCAUAUCAAGUUCACCUCAUAUUAGCAUAUUAACAUACCUCAUAUUAACGUGUCCGACUGACAGACCUGUAUGCUAUUUCUUAAAAAUCACCAGCCAGUAAAGAAACAGCAUUGCCAGUGAUACAGUAAUGGGCGAGCAACAGGACUGUUUUGGGACUUCUAUUAAAAGUAUUAAGGGUUAAACUAAUUUAUUCAUGAACUGACCACAUGGUCCAGCUGAAUUGAAGAAGUACAGAGGGUUGCCACUUUGGAUACCUGGAGAACACUCAGGGUAAACUGUCUAGCUUAAGGACAGGACAGAUUUUCAUGAUGGCACUGGGAUUUGAACCAGGGACCUUUUGGUUCGGGUCAGGUUCAAUUGCCUGGGCUGUAAAUUAGAAAAACAACACGCAUCCAAAAUACAAUAGAUUUAUAUUAUAACAUGGGAUGACAAUCCAGUCGACUCUCAGAUUUAUACAAACUAUUGAUUAAAAAAUACCCUAGUCAUUAAAGAACAUAAUACCAAAGGAGAACGCCAACAGUACAGCUGCGGGACAAUUUUGGAUCUUAAGACAAUUACCAAACAAUUAUCAAACAAUGAAAUGACUGACUGGUGUUAUAUAGGACAGGAUUAUGCUACACUAAAGCUUACAGCCAACCACUCUGUGAGACCUGGGCUCAAAUAGUUUUUGCUUUCAAAUACUUUAAAGCACACCAGGAGUGAAAGAUGGAUUCCCUUUGGUUCCAUUGUGCCAGGCAAGCUUAAUCAACCACGGCUGAAAUUAUGAAAACAAGUACUAUUUAAACCCAGGUAUGUUGUUGGUGACUCAGACCUUAGCUGAUGACACUAGUCUCCAGCAUGGCAACAGUUCUACAUUGUUGCACAACAACCCCUCGUGUGGACAAACAGUGAGUAAAAGUUUCCUCCAACAUUAUAGUAAAAAUACAACUUUAAAAAUCAAAUGGGCAUCAGUUAUAGUUUGAAAAUAAGUGGGGCGACAAACACAGGAGUGACAAUGAACUUUUCAACAAGAGAUACAACUUCUAAGUCAGAGACUUGGCAGUGCUGCAAUUUAGCAACAACACGGUCAAUCUCUGACAUCUCUUGUCGUGAUAACCCUCGAAAAAGAUCUUCGUUCAGAGCUUUAUCACAAAGGGUGUCUUUUCCUGAGUUCUGUUCUGGAAAAAAGUGGAAGGUUCUGGAACUAACGAUGAUAGCAUUUACAUUACAAUGUAGAGUUGAGAAACUCCAGCAGUUCGGCGCGAUUCUUGUCCCUCUGUCAUAAAAAAAAAAACAUUAAACAUACUAGUAUGCAUGGGACAGUACAUUUUUAAGUGAAUGCCCUUUUUUAAGAGCAGUUUAUGUAUCACAAUGAUUCCUACCGUAAAAUGUCCUACAGCUGUAUAUCCGGACCUUUCAUUGUAUCCUGACAGCAAGUUGUUGACCAUCAGACUGUUCAGAAACAUGUUUAAUAACGCUCAUACUCACCAGCUUGUCUUUCUUUGACUUCUUCAAUUUCAUUUUUAUCUUCUUUCCUGAGAUCAUGCUGUACUUUCCUUUUCUCUUUCUCUCCUUUAAAU